CUGGGUUUAUCCCGCAGUGGCGGUGCAUUCCGCGGGGAAGAGACCUCUGGCCCCGCGUCUCUUCGUACAUGGGGCUGAGAGCUGCUCCCGGAGAGUGGGCGCCUUUCCGCGGCAAGUGGGUGGAAGGAGAGAGGGAGGGCAGGCGGGCCUGUAGGCCGUUCCCACUAAUCCCCGGCUUUGAGCUCGGCUACGCCUCCAGCAAAUGGCUCUCUCUCGAGGGUCGAUGGGCAGAUGUGUCCGCACUUGUCGUGGAGCUAGCACUGAGGUGAAACCAAUACUUCAAAUGUUUUGGAGAGAAGAUAAACUGACUCAACAAUGGGUGUAAAGGGACUCCAGCAGUUUGUGGAUCACAUCUGCCCAGCUGUGAAAGUAUGGGUAGACCUGAAGGAGAUGGCAGAGCAGUACAGGUGCUCCCAUCCUGGACGUUCUCCUGUUGUGAUUGUGGACACCUUGGCAUGUCUACGAUAUUGGUACACGUCAGGGGCAUGGGUGCACGGUGGUCAAUGGCGUGAGUAUUUAGAGAGCCUGAAAUCCUUUGUGAGAGCUUUCUCAGCAACCAGCAUAGAGCUCGUGUUUGUCUUUGAUGGGGUAAUAGAAGAGAAGAAAAGGGAUGAAUGGAUUAAACGACGUCUGAGAAAUAACAGAGAGAUUGCAACCAUCUUUCAGUACAUAAAAGCAACUGCCUGCCAACCAGGAAGAGAUAUGUUCUUCAUUCCAUCUGGACUGGCCACUUUCACUUGCUUUGCCUUAAAAUCAUUGGGCUUAAACGUCAUGGUUUCCCUGAAGGAGGCCGAUUAUGAGAUAGCUAGCUAUGCAAGGCUAAAUGACGGAAUGGCAAUUCUGAGCCAGGACACAGAUUUCCUCAUUUAUGACACUGUGCCAUACCUCUCUAUAAGUAAUCUUUCUCUGGAAAAGUUAACUACUGUCAUGUACUCUCGUGAAAACCUCUGUCAUGCUCUCAGGCUGCAGAUGAUGGACUUGCCACUUUUGGCCUGUCUUCUUGGUAAUGACAUUGUGUCUGAGAGCGUGGUGGGGAGACUGAAGAGCCGGUGCCUGGCUGAAUACUCGCUGGGUGGCCCAAAUGCAAGGCAGAGGAAGGAGAUGGUGGCGGCAGUGGCAUGUUACAUCUCCAGGGUGGACCAUUCACAUAGCGGCUUGAAAGAGGUGAAAAGAAACCUGCAACUCCACUCAGGUGAAAGUUUGCUAGAAAAGGGAGUGGAAUGUUACUUAAUGCCUGGGCAGAGCUCACCAUGGCUCCCCCUCAACAGAAUAUCUCCUGCGACUCCCCAGUGUGAGAUGCCCUUACACUCAGAUCUUAAGAUUUUACAGUUUGCAAGAGAGAAGCAUUUCAAAGCUGAGAGCUCUAUGGUUUAUAAGAUCCUGAGUACUGGAGAAGUUGACUGCAGCAACACAUUGGAGGACGACAUGGACCCAGACCUUCCUGGACAAGCAAUUGUUUACCGAUCUGCUCGGCAGUCCGUUUAUGGCAUUCUUCUAGCAGCUGAAUCAUAUGCCCAGCCUAAUUCUGCCACAUCAUGCCGUACCAUAAAGGAAUGGUUUGUAUAUCCAGGUAACCUGCUUCAGCAGCCAGAUCUUGUGCCAGCUCUACCACCAGAACUACCAGGAGGAAUUCCAGAUCUACAAACCUUGUGGCUAGCAGAAGGAUCAGUGGUUGAGGAAUUGCGCUACCGCACAUUUCUCGCGUGCUUUGGCAUACAGGAUUAUAUUGAGGAAUUUCAACAUCUGAAAGAUCCCACAGUUGCUGCCGUUUGCUGCCUGCUCGCCUAUAUCACACUGCAGGUAAGCACAUUAUCUCUGGAGGACCUGAAUGCAUAUUUGGCCCAGAUGCUAUGUAUUCAAGACAAGUCAGCUGACCAGCUCAGUCAGAUACAGGUGCCCCGUGUUGAUUCGCGAGCUGUGCACCUGGCUUCCCUUUUUAUACGGGGCCUGGCUAUGCUCAUUUCAAUUAACAGUGCUUGUGGCUUCCCAUUUAAGAUGGUCGAUCUGAUGCCUUGGGAGGUGUUUGAUGGGAAGCUUUUCCAUACAAAGUACCUGCAGUCUCACAGUGGAAGUACAAUGGAGGACCUCCUGGAAAAGAACGAUGUGAUGGUUCACAAGUUUCAGAAGCUAAAGGACCUCAUUAACACUGUAUGCGCAGGGAAGAACAGGAUUAUACAGAGCCAACCGCGGCCUCUUGUCCCAGGAAGAGGAAUGUCUGACUUCCAUGGUAGGGGCAGCCAUCACACUUCCCAGGGUGCACACUUCUCCCAUCGCCCAUGGUAUCAGGGACAACAUCCACAGCCUCGUUGGACCAACUCAGCUCAAAGAGUUUCAAGCAUUCAGGCUUGGAGAUGCCAGAAAUGACCAAGAGUGAAAAUGAAACAAUUUCACUACAUCAGAGAGUUAGAUACUACAGAGAAUUUGAAGAUACCAACAAUGAAAAUGAAGAUUUGGAGGAUGCAGUUGUCAAUAGCAUGGUAGAAGACCUCAAGUUCGGCCAGGGUUCUGCCACAGGAGACCACUGUAACCAUUUAGCUUCCAAGGUUCACAGCCUGAUUGGAGCUAGACAGAAUGUUAGAGGAGAGAAGACGAACGUUUUCCUGAAGGAGAGUGUAAUAUCGAUUUCCACUGGUUCAAUCAAUAAACUACCAGAAACAUUAAUUAUUGACUUAGCAUGUUAAAGACACUUUUUGUAUUGGACUGGCAGAGCAAUAAAUGAUUUAUGAAGUCUGAUGCAACUUUGACAACAUCUAUGCAAGUUAUCCAGUCACGUUCCCUGAUUUGCUAAAAGGUCAUUAACAUACUUUCCACUGUGCUCCUCUGCUGUCUCUUCUGGAAUUUUCCCUUUUUGUCACUGGUUUGAAUACUAACUACAUUAUCAGGUCCCAGAUUGGCAGCAACUUCAACCAUGUAACUGGUGAUGGAGCCGCUGAUAGAUUCAUUAACACAAAAACAAGAAUGCUCAGCAGCAGCUGUUGAGAGUGAAUCACAGUCAGGAUUUCAUUUCUAUGAUCUUUCACCUGCUUUGUUUCAGCUUUCCAACAUAUGCAGUGUUUUGCUUUUAAAUUGGUGGUCUUGCUUGUUAUCCAGGGAGUCCCGCCAGUCCUGAUGCACUAUUUGGAAGAAAAGCUCCUAUCCCAUUCUCUUUAUCAAAACAUAUAUGAAUGUAAUGCCAACUUUGGAGGAGUUUUUAAAGUAUUUUUAAGUCUAGUGAUUACAAGCUUGAAACUGUAUGUGGAUUGCCCAAAAGAACUUUCAAAAUACUCCCUUGAAUGCCAGAACUUUGACGAUAUCAAAUUAUGAGAGGCAUAGAGAGGUUGAAUGCACAUAGUCUUUUUCCUAAGUUUGGGGAAAUCAAAAACCAGACAACAGAUAUAAGGUGAGAAGGGAGAGAUUUAAUAGGAACCUGAGGAGUAACCAUUUCACCGAAAGGGCGAUGAAGUGGCCACUUUAAUAGAUGCACCUGCUCAUUAAUGCAAAUAUCUAAUCAGCCAGUCGUGUGGCUGCAACUCAGUGCAUAAAAAGCAUGCAGACAUGGUCAAGACGUUCAGUUGCUUUUCAGUCCAAGUGUCAGAAUGGGGAAGAAAUGUGAUUAAGUGACUUUGACCAUGGAAUGAUGUUGGUGCCAGACAGGGUUGUUUGAGUAUUUGAGAAGCUGCUGAUCCCCUGGGGUUUUCAUGCACAACAGUCUCUAGAGUUUGCAGAGAAUGGUGCUUGCAUGCUGCUUAUCACUUCUAUAGACUGUGUCCAUCUCCCAAGUAAAUACUGAUGCAAAAAUUCCAUUUUCCCCAUCUCUUUCAGCUCAUCAAUUUGAUCUUCAAGAGGACCAUUUUUGUCCCCUGCAAUCCUCAUGCUCUUAAUACAACCCUUGGGAUUCUACUUCACUUUGUCUGGUAGAGCAACCUCAUGCCUUUUAUCCCUCCUGCUAUGUCCUGCCACUGCUUUCUUAGUCUUGAGGUCCUCCGUUGGUUGGGGUCGACCGUGGAUGUUGUGUCCCAGCUAUCUAUGUGAUGCACAAGCCAGGGCAGUGCAGUAUGGAGAACAAGCUGUUGCCCACGUUAGCAGGCUCCCCCUCUUCAUGUAGUUGAUGAAUCCAAAGGAACUACAGAGACUGAUACAGUUUGGCACUGGCAGCAUCGAGUUGCCAGUCGGUGUUGAACUCAAUGUAAGACUGCCUUAGGGACUCCAGUUCAGGAUUUUCCUCAAUGUUUACUCCCAAAGCCUUCCCCAGGAGUGGGUCUUGCCUCAAGGCAGCAGAGAUUUGAGGUCAUUUUUCCUUCUGGAUGAGCUGCCAAGCACAGCUGACGAAGUGACUGAUUUUAAGAUGUCAAUAACCCACCUUUGCCUCUUCUCCUGUCAGUAGAAACGAUUCCACUGGGCUUAGUUAGCUAAACCAUAUGUGAAGGCCAGGACUUGCUUGUUGGAGGCUAUUUGAGAUGCAUGCCAUUGGGAGCAUUUAAACCUCUUCUGCCUCCUCUCCAAAGCCUCAACAUCCUAUCUAUAGUAGGGCAACCAGAACUCAAAGGGUGGCCUAGCCAGAGUUUUAUAAAAUUGCAAUGUAAUCUCCUGACUUUUGAACUCAGUGCCUCAAUUAAUAAAACCAAACAUUCCACAAGCCUUCUUAACCAAUUUAUUGACCUGUGUAGACGCUUUCAAGGGGCUAUGAACUUGGAUCCCAAGAUCUCUCUGCUCAGCAACACUGUUUAGGAUUGUACCUUUAACAGUGUACUGUCUCCUUGCAUUUGCCCUACUGAGAUGCAACACUUCACAUUAUCUGAGUUAAACUCCAUCUGUUAUUCCUCUGCCCAUAUCUGUAAAUUAUCUAUAUUGCACUCUACUUUUUGCAAGUCAUUUAUAUACAACAGAGGUCCCAGCACAUCUCUGCGGAACUCCACUAAUUACAAACCUCCGGUUCGAGUAAGUCUCUUUGACCACUUCCCUCUACUAUGCGCAAGACAUUUCUAAAUCCAAAUAGCCAAUUUGCUGUGGAUCCCAUGAAUCUUAAUCUCCCGGAUUAGCCUCCCAUGAGGGAUUUAUCAGAUGCCGUACUAAAAUCCAUGUAGGAAGCAUCCACUACCCUGCCUUCAUCAAUCUCUCUCGUCACCUUGUCAAAAACCUCAAUCAAGUUUGUAACCCACACCUUGCCACACAAAGCCAUGCUGGCUCUCCCCAAUUACGCCAUGGCUUUCCAAAUGCUCAUAUAUCCUAUCCCCGAGAAUUUUCUCCACAAACUUCCCUAGAACUGACAUGAAGCCCACUGGUCUAUAUUUCACAGGAUUUUCCUUCAUCCCCUUCUUAAAUAGAGGUACAGCAUUAGCCAGUUUUGCCAGUCCUCCAGGACCUUGCUUGUGACACAAAGAUACUGGUCAAGGAUCAAGCAAUCUUGUCUCUUGCCUCCUUCAAUAUUCUGGGUAAAUCCCAUCAGGCCCUGAGAACUUAUCUACCUUAAUACUCAUUAGAAAGCCCAAUACUUCCUCCUUCUUGACCUCUAAAUACCCUAAAAUAUUUAUACACAGCACUGAUCUCCUGGUCCUCCAUAUUAUUUUCCUUGUUAAAUACUGAAGCAAAGUACUCAUUUAGUAACAUCCAAGCAAAUGUUCCCCCCUUUAUCCUUGACUGGCCCUACCCUCUCCUAAGUUAUCCUUUUUCUCUUGAUGUAUGAAUCUAAUUCCUUGGGAGCAUUCAGAUUGGCUGCAUCACUAGUAUAGGGUUAGUGGGGCUGCUGCACAGCAUCGAAGUAAGUUGCAGAAACUUGUAAAAUUAGUCAACUCUGUCAUGGGUAAUAGCCUCCAUAGUAUCCAAGACUUUGUCAAGGAGUGGUGCCUCAGGAAGGAGGUGUCCAUUAUUAAAGAUCCCUACCACCAAAGACAUUUAUCAUUGUUACUAUCAGGAAAGAGGUACAACAAGCUGGCGGAGCUCAGCAGGUCAGGCAGCCUGACCUGCUGAGUUCCUCCAGCUUGUCUGUGUUGCUUUGAUCCCCAGCAUCUGCAGUGUACUUUGUGUUAGGGAAGAGGUACAGGAGACCGAAGGCCCACACUCAGUGAUUCAGGAACAGCUUCUUCCCCUCUGCCAUCUCAGAUUACAAAGGAAAGCUCUCCGGCUCUGCUCAUGGUGAUGCCAAGCUAGCCAAAGAGCUAAACGGCUUUUUUGCUCGCUUUGAUAAGGACAAUAAGGAGCCAGUGAUAAGGGUCUUAACAUCAGAUGGAAGAUCUGCACUGACACUGGACAUACAGGAGGUGAGGUGUGAAACAUUUCCAUAACAGCAAUGCACACAGAGCAGUGUGACCAGACAGGACCUCAGGGACUGCACCAAACAGCUGUCAAAAGUUCUGAUGGUAUUUACACCCUCUCACUGUCCCAGGCUAUGGUUCUGGCAUGUUUCAAAGCAGCACCCAUCAUGCUAAUCCCUAAAAUGUCAGUGGCAACGUGCCUUAAUAACUACAGAUGCUAUGCUCACUCCCAUAGUUGCCAAGUGCUUGGAAAGAUUGGUCAUGUCCCACAUCAAGGACAUAAUAAUCCUGGCUACCCUGGACCAGCCCCAGUAUGCGUACAAGGUGAAUAGAUCAACUGAAGGUGCCAUUUCUAUCACCCUUCAUAUUGUCUUGGAACACCUGGAGCACAAAGACAGCUACAUCAGGAUGCUUUCCACUGAUUAGCACUUGGCCUUUAACACCAACAAGCUGGCUGUCAAGCUUCAUAAUUCAGGUCUUGGCACAUCAUCCUGUAAUUGGAUCUUGGACUUCCUCACUAAUCGUAUCCAGGUAGUGAAACUAGGCAAGUGCAGAUCACUCCUCACCCCCCGGACAGGAAUGUGUACUGAGCCCAUUUCACUACUCUGUUUUCACCUGUGACUGCAAUCCUGCUCAUGCUACAAACUCAGUCAUCAAAUUUGCAGAUGACACAACUGAGAUUGGCCUCAUCACAGACUAGUAACGGAUCUGCAUGUAGGGAAGAGGUAUGAAACUGCCCAAUUGGUGCUGGAACCUCAGCCUAUCACUCAAUAUCAAGAAGACAAAAAAAAUGAGAGUUGACUUCAGGAAGCCGCACUGUUGAUGAGCAAUGGGGUAGGGGAAAAGGCCUCCAGUUUCAAGUUUUUGGGGAUGAACAUCACCAAGGAGCUCACAUGGUCGUCAACACCACUUCAACAGUAAAAAAACAACAGCAACUCUACUAGCAACGCACAAAACGCUGGAGGAACGUGCAGGUCAGGCAGCAUCUGUGGAAAAGAGUAAAUAGUCAAUGUUUCGGGCCAAGACCAUUUAUCAGGAAUGUUUACUCUUUUUCACAGAUGCUGCCUGACCUGCUGAGUUCCUCCAGCAUUUUGUGUGUUGCUCGGAUAUCCAGCAUCUGCAGACUUUCUCAUCUUUGAGCAACUAUAGUACCUGAGGUGCUUAUUGAGAGCUAAUCUGCCCCAAAAAUUGCCGGCCAACUUUUAUUGAUGUGUGAUAAAGAACAUACUAUCUACAUCCACUUUAAAUAUACCCAAUGACUUGGCCUUCACAGCAAUGAAUUCCACAGAUUCCCCACCCUUUGGGUAAAGAAAUUCCUUCUUACCUCUGUUUAAGAUGGACAUUUCUCCAUUCUGAUGUUGUUCCCUUUGGUCCUAGACUCCCCCCCCCCCCCCACCAUAAGAAACAUCCUUUCUACUUCAAUAUUCAAUAGAUUUCAGUGACUCGGAGCUGGCUGUGGUCGGAGCUCCCAAAGUGCUGUAUCGGCAAGCUGCGGUUUUUCUUCCUUUUACCGUAUGCAUGGGCUGUCGGGACUUUGAGACUUUCUUUUAAACUGUGCCAUGGACUGCUCUUUAUCAGAUUACGGUAUUGCUUUGCACUGUUGAAACUAUGUGUUAUAAUUAUGUGGUCUUUGUCAGUUAGUCUUUUAUCAAUUAUGGUAUUGUCUGCACUGUUGAAACUAUAUGUUAACUAUAACUAUACGUAACUAUGUGGUUUUGUGUAGGUCUUGUAGCUUUAGGUUUGUCUGAUGGGUUUGUAGGUCCUUUCCGGGGAAUGUGCUAAGACGGUAGCACAAUAUCGAUAAGCAGCAGCCUCUCCGGACUCUGGAUUGGGGACUACCAAACGUUAUGUGGUUUUUCUUGUGUGGUCUGUUUGGUGCUUUUUCGUGAUAUCAUUCCAGAGAACGUUGUCUCAUUUUUUAACUGCAUUAUAUUUGUGGUUUAUAAAUGACAAUAAUCUGAAUCUGAAUCUGAGAUCCUCCUCAUUCUUCUAAACUCCAGUGAGUACAAGCCCAGAGCCAUCAGACACUCCUCAUACAUUAAUUCUCUCAUUCCCAGAAUCAUUCUCAUGAACCUCUUCUGGACCUUCUCCGAUGCCAGCACAUCUUUUUUAGAUAAGGAGCCCAAAUUUGCUCACAAUAUUCCAAAUGUGGUCUUAUAAAGCCUCAGCGUCAGUGUGCAUCCUUGCUUUUAUAUUCUAAUCCUCUUGAAAUGAAUGCAUGCUAACAUCACAGUAUGCAAGACAAACUUUUCAGUGUAUCUUGGUAUAUGACAAUAAUAAAGCAGUUUAGGAAAACUUGUGGCCUCAUGGCUAUUGGUACUGGUCCUUGCAUGAGGAGGAGACCAGUCCUCAGGUUUCAAUCACACUCAGGGUUCAGGUCCAGACCAAUAAUCUAUUCCCAAACUUUGAAUGCAAAUUAAAUUACCUUUUUUGAGUAAGUGUUAGCUACUUAAGAGUCAGAUGGUGGGUAUGUGCAGUGGGUUGUCAGCAAUGGUGAUGGAGGCAGAUACGAUAGGGUCUUUUAAGAGAUUCUUAGAUAAGUACAUGGAGCUUAGAAAAAUAGAGGGCUAUGUGGGAGGGAAAUUCUGGGCAGUUUCUAGAGCAGGUUACAUGGUCAGCUAACAUUGUGGGCCGAAGGGCCUGUAAUGUGCCGUAGAUUUCUAUGUUUCUGUGUUGAAGAACUUAGAAUAAAAAAAUGUAAAUCUCCUCUCUCAGCUGAAAGUUAUGCCUGCUAGUAUUUGACAUUUCCACUCUGGAUGCCUGCAAGAAAGUGUAACAGUUAGUGUGAAGUGUGAAGCUACUACAGUCAGGGUACGGAGUUCAAUUCUGGCAUCCUAUGUAAGGAGCUUGUAGGGUUCUCUCCGUGAACCAGUGCGUUUCCUCUCACAGUCCAAUGACAUACCAGCUACACAUACAACAAGCUGGAGGAACUUAGCAGGUUGGGCAGCAUCUGUAGAAACGAACAGUCAACGUUUCGGGCUGAGACCUUUGCAAAACGUUGACUGUUCAUUUCCAUGGAUGCUGCCUGACCUGCUGAGUUCCUCCAGCGUGUUGUACAUGUUGCUUUGACCACAGCGUCUGCAGUGUACUUUGUGUUGACAUACUGGCUAGUAGGUUAAUUGAUCUUUGUAAAUUGUCCUGUGAUUAGGUCAGGUGGGUUGUUGGACCAAAAGGGCCUGUUCCGUGCCAUAUCUAUAAAUAAUAAGAAUUAAUCUCAGGGUAGUACAUGGUGGCACGUAGAUAAUAAAUUUAAUUCAAAACCAUGAAUAACGCUGACUUUCAAAACUACAGAGAAUUUCACUUCCCAUCCUCAGUCUCACAUUCCAGUGGGUUUUACUAGUUCAUCCUCUCUCGGCCUUUCUGUUAGUGGAGAGGUUGUGGAGGCAGCUGUUGGUAAGACCUCAGACAAAAUCAGGAAUCAAAAUGUUGAGCCUGGUGUGACUAGUGUCCUGAGCUGCGUACAUUUCAAUGCAAUUCAAUAGGAAAGACAGAUGUCAGUGCUGAAGGUGAGGUAACUGGUUUACAAACAGAGGCAAUGUGUAGCAAAGAGAGAUUUUGAUAGGGCAACAUUGCACAACAGGAUGAGUUGCAACAUAAAAGGCAGACAAAAUCGAAUAGGGUGAAUGCAGGACUGUAAGUGUUAUAUUUGAAUGCACGCAAUAUGCAGAAUAAGGCAGAUGAACAUGUAGCACAGUUAGAAAUUAGCAAGGACCCAGGGUUGAGAUUUUUGAUUGGAGAAAGGCUAACUUUGAGGAGAUGCGAAAGGAUUUAGAAGGAGUGGAUUGGGACAAUUUGUUUUAUGGGAAGGAUGUAAUAGAGAAAUGGCGGUCAUUUAAAGGUGAAAUUUUGAGGGUACAGAAUCUUUAUUUUCCUGUUAGGUUGAAAGGAAAGGUUAAAAGUUUGAGAGAGCCAUGGUUUUCAAGGGAUAUUGGAAACUUGGUUAGGAAAAAGAGAUAUCUACAAUAAAUAUAGGCAGCAUGGAGUAAAUGAGGUGCUCAAGGAAUAUAAAGAAUGUAAGAAGAAUCUUAAGAAAGAAAUUAGAAAAACUAAAAGAAGAUAUGAGGUUGCUUUGGCAAGUAAGUUGAAAAUAAAUCCGAAGGGUUUCUACAGUUAUAUUAAUAGCAAAAGGAUAGUGAGGGAUAAAACUGGUCCCUUAAAGAAUCAGAGUGGACAGCUAUGUGUGGAGCUGAAAGAGAUGGGGGAGAUUUUGAACAAUUUCUUUUCUUUGGUAUUCACUAAGGAGAAGAAUAUUAAAUUGUGUAAGGUAAGGGAAACAAGUAGGGAAGUUAUGGAAACUGACGAUUAAAGAGGAGGAAGUACUGGCGCUUUUAAGGAAUAUAAAAGUGGAUAAAUCUCUGGAUCCUGACAGGAUAUUCCCUAGGACCUUGAGGGAAGUUGGUGUAGAAAUAGCAGGGGCUCUGACAGAAAUAUUUCGAAUGUCAUUAGAAACGGGGAUGGUGCCAGAGGAUUGGCGUAUUGCUCAUGUGGUUCUAUUAACCUAGCAAUUAUAGGCCCAUCAGUUUGACGUCAGUGCUGGGUAAGUUAAUGGAAAGUAUUCUUAGUGAUGGUAUAUAUAAUUAUCUGGAUAGACAGGGUCUGAUCAGGAACAGUCAGCAUGGAUUUGUGCGUGCAAGGUCAUGUUUGACAAAUCUUACUGAAAUUUUUGAAGAGGUUACAAGGAAAGUUGACGAGGGUAAAGCAGUGGAUUUUGUCUAUAUGGACUUCAGUAAGGCCUUUGACAAGGUUCCGCACGGAAGGUUAGUUAGGAAGGUUCAAUCAUUAGGUAUUAAUAUUGAAGUAGUAAAAUGGAUUCAACAGUGGCUGGAUGGGAGAUGCCAGAGUAGUGGUGGAUAACUGUUUGUCAGGUUGGAGGCCGGUGACUAGUGGUGUGCCUCAGGGAUCUGUACUGGGUCCAAUGUUGUUUGUCAUGUACAUUAAUGAUCUGGAUGAUGGGGUGGUAAAUUGGAUUAGUAAGUAUGCAGAUGAUACUAAAGUAGGUGGCAUUGUGGAUAAUGAAGUAUGUUUUCAAAGCUUGCUGAGAGAUUUAGGCCAGUUAGAAGAGUGAGCUGAGCGAUGGUAGAUGGAGUUUAAUGCUGGUAAGUGUGAGGUGGUACAUUUAGGUAGGAAUAAUCCAAAUAGGACAUACAUGGUAAAUGGUAGGGCAAUGAAGAAUGCAGUAGAACAGAGUGAUCUAAGAAUAAUGGUGCAUAAUUUCCUGAAGGUAGAAUCUCAUGUGGAUAGGGUGGUGAAGAAAGCUUUUGGUAUGCUGGCCUUUAUAAAUCAGAGCAUUGAGUAUAGGAGUUGGGAUGUAAUGUUAAAAUUGCACAAGGCGUUGGUGAGGCCAAAUUUGGAGUAUUGUGUACAGUUCUGGUCACCAAAUUAUAGGAAAGAUGUCAACAAAAUAGAGAGAGUACAGAGGAGAUUUACUAGAUUGUUACCUGGGUUUCAGCACCUAAGUUACAGAGAAAGGUCUUUAUUCUUUGGAGCAUAGAAGGUUGAGGGGGGACUUGAUAAAGGUAUUUAAAAUUAUGAGGGGGAUAGAUAGAGUUGACGUGGAUAUGCUUUUUCCAUUGAGAGUAGGGGAGAUUCAAACAAGAGGACAUAAGUUGAGAGUCAAGGGGCAAAAGUUUAGGGGUAACACGAGGGGGAACUUCUUUACUCAGAGAGUAAAUGAGCUGUGUGUAAUAAGCUUCCAGUAGAAGUGGUAGAGGCAGGUUUGGUAUUGUCAAAGUCAAAGAGAGGGAGCAUAAUAGAACAAAAUUAGUGGGAAGUCAGAGGAUUGGAAAGCUUCUUAAAACCAGCAGAAGACAACUAAAAAGGUCAUAAAGAAGGCAAAGAUGGAAUACAAAGGUAAACAAGCCAAUAAUAUUAAAGAGGGUACCAAAAGUUUCUUCAGAUACAUAGUGUAAAAGAGAGGCAAGAGUGGAUAUUGGACCACUAGAAAACAAUGCUGGAGAGGUAGUAAUGAGGGACAACAAAAUGGCAGAUGAACUUAUUCAGUAAGUAUUUUGCAUCAGUCUUCACUGUGGAAGACACAAGGAGUAUGGUGGAAGUUCCAGUUAUCAGGAAUCAUGAAGAGUGUGAAGUUCCCAUUAGUAGGGAGAACGUUCUUGGGGAACUGAAAUCUGAAGGUAGAUGAGUCAGCUGGAUAAGGUGGCGUGCACUCAGGAUUCUGAAAGAGGGUGGCUGAAGAGAGCAUGAGGACGUUAAUAACGAUCUUUCAAGAAUCACUAGACUCCGGAAUGUUCCAGAAGAUUAAGUCUCUGGAGUGUUCCAGAAGAUUAAGUCUGAAGUGUCACUAAGGACUUCAAGAAGUGAGAGAGGCAGAAGAAAGGAAAUAUAGGCCAAAUAGUCUGACCUCAGUGGUUGGGAAGAUGUUGGAGUUGAUCAUUAAAGAUGAGGCCUCAGGGUACUUGGAGGCACAUGAUAAAAUAGCCCAUAGUCAGCAUGGUUUCCUCAAGGGAAAAUCUUGCCUGACAAAUCUGUUGGAAUUGUUUGAAGAAAUAGCAAUCAGUAUAGACAAAGGAGAAUCAGUUGAUGUUGUGUACUUGGAUUUUCAGAAGGCCUUUGAUAAGGUGCCACACACAAGGCUGCUUAACAAGCUAUGAACCCAUGGUAUUACAGGAAAUAUUCUACCAUGGAUAAAGCAGUAGGAGUCAAAGUGAGGGAAUAAAGGGAGUCUUUCCUAGUUGGCUGCCAGUGACAAGCAGUGUUCCACAGGAGUUUGUGCUGGGACUGAUUCUUUUUACGUUAUAUGUCAAUGAUUUGGAUGAUGGAAUUGAUGGCUUUGUUGUGAAGUUUGCAGAUGAUAUGAAGAUAGGUGGAGGGGUAGGUAGUUUUGAGGAAAUAUGGAGUCUACAGAAGGACUUAGACAGAUUAGGAGAAAUGGCAGAUGGAAUACAGUGUUGGGAAGUGUGUGGUCAUGCACUUUGAUAGAGAAAUGAAAGGGUUGACUAUUUUCUAAAAGGAGAGAAAAUACAAAAAAUGAGAAGCAAUGGGACUUGGGAGUCCUUAUACAGGAUUCCCUAAAGAUUAAUUUGCAGGCUGAGUCUGUGGUGAGGAAGGCAAAUGCAAUGUUAGCAUACAUUUUAAGUGAACUACAAUAUAUAGGCAAGGAUGUAAUGUUGAGACUUUGUAAAGAACCGGAGAGGCCUCACUUGGAGUAUUGUGAGCCUUCUGGCUCUUUUCUUCAAAAGGAUGUGCUGAAACCAGAGAGGAUUCAAAGUAGGUUCAAGAAAAUGAUUCCAGGUUUGGCAGAUUGAAUGGCUUGUCAUAUGAAGAGUGUUUGAUGGCUCUGGGCCUAUAUUCAUUAGAAUUCAGAAGAAUGAGGGGUGACCUCAUUGAAUGGUGAAAGGCCUUGAUAGAGUGGAUGUGGAUAGGAUGUUUCCUAUGGUGGGAGAGUAUAAGACAAGAGGACACAGCCUCAGAAUAGACAUGUGUCCUUUUAGAACAGAAUUGAGGAGCAAUUUCUUUAGGCAGAAAGUGCUGAGUCUGUGGAAUUCUUUGCCACAGGAAGCUGUGAACCCCAAGUCUUUAUGUAUAUGUAAGGCAGAAGUUGAUAGAUUAGUAAUUAGUCAGAGCAUGAAGGGAUAUGGGGAGAAGGCAGGAGAUUGGGGCUGAGGGGGAAAUGGAUCAGCCUUGAUGGAAUGGUGGAGCAGACUCCAUGGGCCAAAUGGCCUGAACUCUCUACUAGGCCAUUAGAUUUUGAGUGUUGUGGGCUUGAAGUUUUAUGUUGAGACCCGCAGUCACUGGCAAAAGACUCAGAUUCACAGCUUGAGAACUGUAGACCAUUGUCCGAUACACUUGCCAUGGAACUUCAUACCUCACAAACACAACUUUCAGGAAGGUGAUGACUGCUCUGCUGGAUGUUGAUUGUAGUGGUGAAGCCUCUGGGAAAUUGGAAAAGUAGUCUGUUACACCAGUGGCUCUUCCCAUUAUAAACAGUCUUGCUUGCUGCUAUGGUCUGUAGGUAGGGCAUAUUUCACAUCUGGCUGAUGUCUUGGUUCAUUCUUGGCCAGUACAUCACUUCAUGAGAUCUACAUUUACAUUUUUCCUCACCAAGAUGCCCUUUGUGUAUUUUCUGGAGUAUUUCCUCGCAUGCCAACACUGAAAUCACAAACUUUGUCCCCUCGAAGACCAGAUCUUCCACGACUGACAGUUCAGCUCUUCAUGGAGUUCAGUCAGGGUAGACUCCACUGUAUGUCUGUAGAAGUCUGUCAGGGUUUUAGAUGAUGCAUAAACUUCUAGAGACGUAGAGGUCAACAACAGAGGACUUGCCACCAAACUUUCGUACAACAUUGGAACUGUACUUAGCCUCACAGUCAUAGGUAUAAAGCACACAUGCCAACUACAUUUGGCAAUACCCAGAGUAUGGGAGACCCUUUCACUUAGAGACUGGCCAUUGGUGAUUUCUUAUCAUUAAACCUCUUUGAGUAAGACAAAAAUAUUGACAAGUAGAAGGAGAAAACAAAAAGACAGGAGGAGGGAUCUUUUACAAUACAGUGUGUUAUUACAAUGCAGAAGUCAAGUCAGAGAACAAAGCUGGAGUGAGCCAGCAAAUGGUUUCUCUUGCAGUGACAGCAACAACCAAGCAGUUCAUUCCUACCAUGAUCUUAUCAGGGGUUAAUGAUCACCAUGUCAGCCCACAUAAUACAGAUCCCCCAGAAACCAGCUGUGCGUUUCCAUGUCAGUUGUGUAUUUAGCACACAGUCGCAAAGCAGACACGCUUUUAACCGCGAAUGUAAGGUCUUCACACUUUAUCCUGCGCUUCAGUGCUUUCCUCUAAUUGUGCGCUGCAAAGCUUUUCCAGCCAAGGGGGGACGGCUGUAAUGUGCCCUCCUGGAAAGCAGCGUGUUUGUUUUCUUCAGGGAGAAGUGCUUCCUUGUCCUUUCUUCUGUGCCUUGGAGUAAGUGGGGGGGGGGGGGGUGAGAUCCUGGACUGCUCUUUGCUUCUCUUCUACUUUGAUUUGUUUGGAGACAAUGUGCAGAAUAGGAGAAUAGGCCCUUCUGAUCCACUAGCCGCACUGCCCGGCAAUCUCCCAGUCUAACCCGAGCCUAGCAACAGAAUAGUUUACAAUGACCAACUAACCUACUAACCGGUGCGUCUUCGGACUGUGGGAGGAAACCAGAGCACCUGGCGGAAACCCACACACUCGUGGGGAGAACGUGCAAGCUUGCUUACAGAGGAGGUUCAAGUGGAACUCCGAACUCCAAGUUGUAACAGCAUUUGCUAACUACUACGCUACUGCAGUGCCACAUGUGAGAUUUGUUCUUGGUAUACUUUUAAAUAUUGUUAUAUAAGUUUAAUAUAUUUCUUAUUGUAACUUGUAAUAUUAGCUUAUCUACUGCACUGUACUGCUACCAAAAAGCAACAGAUAAAGCUGAUUCUGGUCUCAGAAUGCUUUCCAUCAUCUAUAGAGAAAAUGCAGUCAUCUUGCCCUUGGACAAACUCCCUUCUCCCUCACCCCACAGCACAGCACUGCUGGCAAACAUUUAAUUGAAUAUAAGGGCAGGUUUAAGCCUGCUCUCAGUGAAACAGACUGCAAUCUGUUUAUUGAUCUUUGAAAGGACUACUGCUGACCCUUGUUUAAGUCCAAGGUUUGUGGAUGUGCUGUUACAGAAUAACCUUUGUUAAAUGCCUUCAAUGACAUGUCAUUUGUAUAGUCUGAUUAGUUAAAACCAGAGCUGGGUUUGUGGCUGCAGUGGGCAGGUUACUCACUCUGUACCUCAAGAUUCAAGUUUAUUUGCACGUGUACAUUAAAACUGACAGUGAAAUGCUUUCUUUGUGUUAACGAGGGUGUGCUGGGGGGGGGGGGGCCGCAAAUGCCACCACGCCUUCCAACGCCAGCAUAACAUGCCCAUGAUGCUCGGCAGAACAGGGCAAGCAACAGCUAAGCAAGCCCCCACUCCUCUCUCCCAGCUAUGAACAUACACCAGCCUCUGACCCCAAGAUGGUCUCUAUUCUAUGACCUCCAGCAGAUCCAGAUUGAGAGGACUGGAUCGUUGACUACCCCAGCAAGCUCACCAAGAUUCGCAGACUCAGUGCUUGGGCUAACAGGCCCUGGCUUCCAAUUCUCCCCUUGGGCCUCUUGGACACAGGUGUGGAACUUAAAAAUGUCCCCUGUCCUUCCUGUAACCUGGUGCAUCUUGCAGACAGUUUGCAUACAGUCAGGCUAGACAGUGAAGCUAUGCAGAGUUAAGUAUUCUAAGCUUAUACAUAAAUGUUGGCCAUUCAGAUGACACACUGAAGAGUGCAUCAUGUCAGCUAAACUCCCAGAAUUGAAGGAAGCUAUAAUUAGUGCCUUUGCAUUAAUGUUAACAUUGAGAUUUUUAAAAAAAUAGUAGUAACAAAGUAAUUUACUUUUACUUUUUGGUUUCCACAAACAUACUACAUCUGUGGUACAAGGUCAGGUAAAGGCAGGGGUGGGGGUGUUGCUACACACCCAACAUUACCUCAGUAGAUUAUCUGGUUAUCAUCAGGGACAAUGCUGUGUGCAAAUUCCCAUAACACAGCACCAUCAUUACAAUGCUUCAAGGGAUAGUUAAUUGACUGGCAAAGCAUUUUUAAGAUCUUGGAAAUUGUGGAACAUACAACUUAGAGCAUACAACAGUACAGGCCCUUUGGCCCACAAUGUCGUGCCUAUCCUUUAACCUGCCCUAAGAUCAAUCUAACCCUUCUCUCUAUUGUCCUGCCAUCCAUUUGCAUAUCCAUGAGUCAGACGUGUCCCUAAUGUCUCUGGCUCUACCACUUACCCUGUUAGCAAGUUCCCUGCACCUACCACUCUCUGUGUAAAGAAAACCCAUCUCUGGCAAUGCCUCUAUGUUUUCCUCCCAACACCCUUAAAACCAUGCCCACUCAUAUUAGCCAUUUCUGCCUGGGCUGUCCACUCUAUCAAUGCCUCUUAUCAUCUUGUAGAGUCAUGGAGAAGUACAGCACAGAAACAGACCAUUUGGCCCAACUAGGUCAUGACGAAAAUCACUUAAACUGUCUAUACCCAACGAUCUGCUCCAUGACCAUCGCCCUCCAUAUCUUUACUAUCCAUAUACCUGCCCAAAAGCCCCUUAACCAUUGAAAUCAAGCUCACCCGGACAUUGUACAGUUCUAUCAAGUCACCUAUCAAGAAAAAAGCCCUAGCUUUCUCAUCCCACUCUAGCCUAGGCAGCAUCCUGGUAAACUCCUACCUCCUCGCUAAACUUUCACGCCCUUCCUAUAGUGAGGGAACCAGGGUGCCUUUCUUAGAAAUCAGAGAGAGUAAAUUCUGCCUGUGCCCAAUUUCUCAUUCAAGGACAGGCAGGGUCUGCUAAAACAAGUGGGUAAUUGUCAGUGAUAGAUGGUAAUAUUGAAUCAAGAAUAUUGGAAAGGUCAUCGGUGUUAUUUGUAGUGAAGGUUGGGCCACAGUGAUUUGUUCCCACAUUUCAUUGUGGUCAUAGAAACCAGGGAUCCCUGGGAAGUAAGGUGCACCACAGAAACAGGCCAUUUGGCCCAUCUAGUCUAUGCUGAACUACUACUCUGCCUGUACCUAGACCAUAGACCCCAUACCCAUGUCCCUCACAUCCAUGUUAAAUGUCGCAAUCAAACGCACAUCCACCACUUCUGCUGGCAGUUCGUUCCCCAUUCUGAGUGAAGAAGUGCCUCCCUUAAGCAUUUCAGUUUUCACCCUUUACCCACAACCUCUGGUUGUAGUCCCACCCAACCUCAGUGGAAAAAGCCUGCUUGCAUUUACCCCAUCUAUACCCUUCGUAAUUUUGUAUAGCUAUCAAAUCACCCCUCAAUCUUCUACACUCCAGGGAAUAAAGUCUUAAUCUAUUUAACCCUUGCCCAUAAACUUACGGAAAGGAAAUCAAUAGGUCAGGUUUGGAAAAUAGAAAGUGUGGUAUUUCUGAUAAUAUUUCAGGAAGGGGAGUAUUUUUAGCAAGCAUAAUCAGAAACAGGAGAAAAUCUGCAGAUGCUGUAAAUCUAAAGCAAUACACACACACAAUGCUGGAGGAACUCAGCAGCACCUAUGGAAAAGAGUACAGUUGACAUUUUGGGCCGAAACCCUUCAUCGCGACUGGAAAGGAAGGCGGAAGACAACAGGAUAAUCAGAGCAGUAGCUGCCUCCCGUCUUGUUCAAGGGGUGAGUUGUUGGGAGUCUUGUAUGGGAGCAGGUUCCACAUAGCCUUGUGCUUUCUGCAUGAAUGAACUCAGCUAAUCUACAUGUGUGAAGGAUUACAAUAGGGCAGCAAAUGAGGAGGAAAUGUUCCUGCACCAGCCUUCUCUCCACCCUCCAUCUGUGGUGAUGUCAGGCCUCAUUGUCACAUAUGUUACCUGUUGCACACUGACCAUCUGUUUACCAAUUUGAUUAAGUGCUCUGGUUGCUAUGGGGACUGAGCCACUGAGAGCAAUGGUAUUGAAAGCAUUUUAUGCUCAGAUUUCACUUUUCCUCAGACAGCGAGUGCAAAGGAAUGGCAGUAAAUGAUGUGUUUUUUUCCACGACACCCCCUCUUGUGAAUGCACUGAAGUGUCACAAUGAUAAGGUGCACUGGUAUCAAUCGCUCCCGGGGCCAAAUAUCCUUCACAGGAUUAUGGCGACUGCUUUCUAAUAAUUGCAUUAGAAGGGGAGCAUUUCUCAGUCAGUGUGUGCAGACCACAAGUAUGUGGGCACCGUGUGUCACUGUGUACUGAGGGUCUACUAGUUCCUGGUACUGUGGAAGACAGACCUGGCCAAGUCAUCGCGCAGCGUCACAAUUAGACAGACAUUGCCGCUCCACCUGUCUUUUGUGGAAGAGUGCUUCCCAAGUCAAGGGUGGCGUGGUAGUUUAGCGUUUAGCGUAAUGGUCUUACAGUGCCGGUGACCCAGGUUCAAUUCAAGCUGGAUGCAGUUUGGAUGUUCCCUUUGUGACUGUGUCUGGGUUUCCUCUGCUUUCUCCAGUAUCAAAGACGUACGGUUCAGGGAGUGAAUUGCUCACAUGGGUGCAGCUGGGCACAGUGGCCUUGUUGGGCUGGAAGGGCACUGCAUCUCAAAACCAAUCAAAUAAUUGUAAAGUAAACUUGAACUUUGAACAUGAAAGUGGAGUACAGGGUUAAUGGUCUGAUUCUUAGCAGUGGGGAGGAACAGGUGAAACUUGGGGUCCACGUCCAUAGAUCGCUCAGAUUUGCUAUGCCUUGAUAUGUUUCAGGCUUCAGGAGUACGAGACCCUGAAGGUCAAUGCAACCAAUGCAAAGACUCUGUGGGGAAGAACCACAUUCUCAACUCUUUAUCCUACCAGGCAUAGAGGGGCAGAAUUCAGACAAUGAAAGCUGAGGGUCAACUAAAAGAUUAAAAACUGACAAAGAUUGUGAAGGAACAAGAUUAAGAGAUAUGGAGUUAAGGAAAUAAACAGGGUUAAGAUCAGUCAGAUCUGGCAGAAUACACUGAAGAUUUAAUGGCCUCCACCUUCUCCUAUGUUCUCCCAAUGAAUUUCACAACAUUGAGGAUAUCUGUUUAGUUGUUUGUGUCUACAGAAAGUAGUGGAAACAGCCCAGUCCCUCACAGGUAAAACCUUCGCCUUGUACUCCUUCAUUUACAAAGAUCCCUGCCACAAAAAACAGCAUCUAUCAUCAAGGACCCUCACUGUUCAGACCACGCUCUCUCCACACUGCUGCCAUGGAGCCUCAGGUCCCACACCACCUGUUUCAGGAACAGUUAAUACCCUUCAGCCAUCAGACUCCUGAACUGGCAUCACUCACCUCAGCACUGAACAGAUUCCACAACUAAAGACUCACUUUCGAGGCUCUACAACUCACAUUUGCGGUAUUAUUUAUUUAUUUGCACAACUUGUCCUCUUUUGCACAGUGGAUGUUUGUCAAUCUGUGUUUGUGUAUAGUUUUUCAUGAAUUCCGUUGUAUUUCUAUAUUUUCCUGUAACUGCCUACAAGAAAUGAAUCUCAAGGAAGUAUCUGGUGACAUAUACGCACUUUGACAAUAAAUCUACUUUGAAAG
This is an RNA transcript of Hypanus sabinus (Atlantic stingray), 20189 nucleotides long. It is a transcript of the gene named family with sequence similarity 120 member B, with no coding region annotated. The record is from RefSeq and is a predicted model, not a curated record. The transcript is spliced from 12 exons. Lineage: Eukaryota; Metazoa; Chordata; Chondrichthyes; Myliobatiformes; Dasyatidae.